AACGAACGCUGGCGGCAUGCCUAACACAUGCAAGUCGAACGAGACCUCCGGGUCUAGUGGCGCACGGGUGCGUAACGCGUGGGAACCUGCCCUUAGGUUCGGAAUAACUCCCCGAAAGGGGUGCUAAUACCGGUUAAUGUCUUCGGACCAAAGAUUUAUCGCCUUUGGAUGGGCCCGCGUUGGAUUAGCUGGUUGGUAGGGUAAAAGCCUACCAAGGCGACGAUCCAUGGCUGGUCUGAGAGGAGGCUAAGCCACACUGGGACUGAGACACGGCCCAGACUCCUACGGGAGGGAGCAGUGGGGAAUAUUGGACGAUGGGCGAAAGCCUGGUCCAGCCAUGCCGCGUGAGUGAUGAAGGCCUUAGGGUUGUAAAGCUCUUUUACCCGGGAUGAUAAUGACGGUACCGGGAGAAUAAGCUCCGGCUAACUCCGUG
Molecule: ribosomal RNA, 433 nt
Filed under: uncultured bacterium
Lineage: Bacteria
Description: partial 16S ribosomal RNA
Rfam family: Bacterial small subunit ribosomal RNA
Source: RNAcentral